Molecule: ribosomal RNA, 497 nt
Filed under: uncultured bacterium
Lineage: Bacteria
Description: partial 16S ribosomal RNA
Rfam family: Bacterial small subunit ribosomal RNA
Source: RNAcentral
GAUGAGCGCUGGCGGCGUGCCUAAUACAUGCAAGUCGAGCGAACGGACGAGAAGCUUGCUUCUCUGAUGUUAGCGGCGGACGGGUGAGUAGCACGUGGAUAACCUACCUAUAAGACUGGGAUAACUUCGGGAAACCGGAGCUAAUACCGGAUAAUAUUUUGAACCGCAUGGUUCAAAAGUGAAAGACGGUCUUGCUGUCACUUAUAGAUGGAUCCGCGCUGCAUUAGCUAGUUGGUAAGGUAACGGCUUACCAAGGCAACGAUGCAUAGCCGACCUGAGAGGGUGAUCGGCCACACUGGAACUGAGACACGGUCCAGACUCCUACGGGAGGCAGCAGUAGGGAAUCUUCCGCAAUGGGCGAAAGCCUGACGGAGCAACGCCGCGUGAGUGAUGAAGGUCUUCGGAUCGUAAAACUCUGUUAUUAGGGAAGAACAUAUGUGUAAGUAACUGUGCACAUCUUGACGGUACCUAAUCAGAAAGCCACGGCUAACUACGUG